GCUGACCGAUUGACCAGACGUCUUUCCAUUGACUUUCAUUUGUUUAUUCAAAGUAAGAAUUCUAUAUAAACUAACUAGCCUCGGAUUGUUUAUUCUACUGUGAAU
Caenorhabditis elegans is the source of this 105-nucleotide non-coding RNA. The record is from Ensembl. Lineage: Eukaryota; Metazoa; Nematoda; Chromadorea; Rhabditida; Rhabditidae.